This 511-nucleotide ribosomal RNA is filed under the name Malvinius compressiventris. RNAcentral describes it as "partial 16S ribosomal RNA". It matches the Rfam family "Bacterial large subunit ribosomal RNA", at positions 1819 to 2600 of the family's 2925-position model. The record is from RNAcentral. RNAcentral also lists the same sequence under 1 other name. Lineage: Eukaryota; Metazoa; Arthropoda; Insecta; Coleoptera; Curculionidae.
GGCCUUUUGAUAAUAAUUUAAGGUCUAACCUGCCCAAUGAGGAUUUAAAUGGCCGCGGUAUUUUGACCGUGCAAAGGUAGCAUAAUCAUUAGUUUUUUAAUUGAAAGCUGGUAUGAAAGGUUGGAUGAGAAAAUAGCUGUCUCUGCUUUAACUAUUUAGAAUUUUAUUUUUAAGUAAAAAAGCUUAAAUUUUAGUAGAAGACGAGAAGACCCUAUAGAGUUUUAUUUAUUUUUUGUUUAAAAUUUUAAGUAUUGAAAAUUUUUAUGUUUAAAAUAAAUUUAAUUGGGGUGAUUGAAAAAUUUAUUAAACUUUUUUUUUAUAUAAUCAUUAAUUUAUGAGUUUUUGAUCCUUUUAUAAAGAUUAUAAGAUUAAAUUACCUUAGGGAUAACAGCGUAAUUUUUUUAAAGAGUUCAAAUCGAAAAAAAAGAUUGCGACCUCGAUGUUGGAUUAAAAUAAAAUUUUGGUGUAGAAGCUAAGAUAUUUAGGUCUGUUCGACCUUUAAAAUUUUACA